CCUACGGGUGGCAGCAGUGGGGAAUAUUGCGCAAUGGGCGAAAGCCUGACGCCGCGACGCCGCGUGAGGGAUGAAGGUCUUCUGAUCGUAAACCUCUGUCAGCAGGGAAGAACGGUCACUGUGCUAAUCAGCAGUGAAUUGACGGUACCUGCAAAGGAAGCACCGGCUAACUCCGUCCCAGCAGCCGCUGUAAUACGGAGGGGGCGAGCGUUAAUCUGACUUACUGUGCGUGAAGCGCUCGUAGGCGGUAUGUCAAGUCAAGGGUGAAAUCCCUGCCCUAAACGUGGGAACUGCCUUUGAAACUGGCAAACUGGAGUGUGUGAGAGGAUAGUGGAAUUCCAGGUGUAGGAGUGAAAUCCGUAGAUAUCUGGAGGAACAUCAGUGGCGAAGGCGACUAUCUGGCACAUAACUGACGCUGAGGAGCGAAAGCGUGGGUAGCAAACAGGAUUAGAUACCCGGGUAGUC
This 465-nucleotide ribosomal RNA is filed under the name uncultured bacterium. Its description in RNAcentral is "partial 16S ribosomal RNA". It matches the Rfam family "Bacterial small subunit ribosomal RNA", at positions 338 to 795 of the family's 1533-position model. The record is from RNAcentral.